Molecule: ribosomal RNA, 407 nt
Filed under: uncultured bacterium
Lineage: Bacteria
Description: partial 16S ribosomal RNA
Rfam family: Bacterial small subunit ribosomal RNA
Source: RNAcentral
AUUGAACGCUGGCGGCAGGCCUAACACAUGCAAGUCGAGCGGAGCGGCGGACGGGUGAGUAAUGCCUAGGAAUCUGCCUGGUCGUGGGGGAUAACGUCCGGAAACGGGCGCUAAUACCGCAUACUAUCAGAUGAGCCUAGGUCGGAUUAGCUAGUUGGUGGGGUAAAGGCCUACCCAGGCGACGAUCCGUAACUGGUCUGAUCGGAUGAUCAGGCAAACUGGAACGGAGACACGGUCCAGAAUCCUACGGGAGGCAGCAGUGGGGAAUAGUGGACAAGGGGCGAAAGCCUGAGGCAGCCAUGCCGCGUGUGUGAAGAAGGUCUUCGGAUUGUAAAGCACUUUAAGUUGGGAGGCGUUACCAACAGAAUAAGCACCGGCUAACUGCGUGCCAGCAGCCGCGGUAAUUC